Molecule: long non-coding RNA, 451 nt
Organism: Malaya genurostris
Lineage: Eukaryota; Metazoa; Arthropoda; Insecta; Diptera; Culicidae
Exons: 2
Source: RefSeq, a predicted model, not a curated record
UGUGAAAAUAAUGCAUUUUUCGAUUCAUCUUCAGGAGCCUUCAAAAGAUGUUACGUGCACUGUGUUGAUGAACUUGUCGAAAGAUUUUAGCUACGCUGCCGGAGGAAACCGUUCGGAUAGUUGGAGUAGAUGAGAUCUACAAUUAUGGAUUUGGCUUAUUUUCGACUCCAAGUGUCGAGCCGCACACAAUCAAAGUUUGUACUAGAAGUGAACGCUCUGCUUGGUUAUUUGCAUGUACUUGCAAAACCAGUGAAGGAAAAUGCAAACAUGUGAUAGCUGUUUUGAAUCAUUUAUUGAGAAACUCAAAGCUCAAAAGAACGAUUAACAUCCAACGAGAUUAAAACGAGCGGCAGUCGGAUAUUCCGAACUGAUAACAUCAAGUUUGAGGACAUUUGACAUUUAUUUAUUAAUUAUGUUUUAUUGUCAGAUGAAUAAAUUUAAUAUACAUAAA